UGGCGGACGGGUGAGUAAUGUCUGGGAAACUGCCUGAUGGAGGGGGAUAACUACUGGAAACGGUAGCUAAUACCGCAUAACGUCGCAAGACCAAAGGGGGGGACCUUCGGGCCUCUUGCCAUCGGAUGUGCCCAGAUGGGAUUAGCUAGUAGGUGGGGUAACGGCUCACCUAGGCGACGAUCCCUAGCUGGUCUGAGAGGAUGACCAGCCACACUGGAACUGAGACACGGUCCAGACUCCUACGGGAGGCAGCAUG
Molecule: ribosomal RNA, 256 nt
Filed under: uncultured bacterium
Lineage: Bacteria
Description: partial 16S ribosomal RNA
Rfam family: Bacterial small subunit ribosomal RNA
Source: RNAcentral